GAUGAACGCUGGCGGUGUGCCUAAUACAUGCAAGUCGAGCGAACAGACGAGGAGCUUACUCCUCUGACGUUAGCGGCGGACGGGUGAGUAACACGUGGAUAACCUACCUAUAAGACUGGGAUAACUUCGGGAAACCGGAGCUAAUACCGGAUAACAUGUUGAACCGCAUGGUUCAACAGUGAAAGACGGUCUUGCUGUCACUUAUAGAUGGAUACGCGUCGCAUUAGCUAGUUGGUAAGGUAACGGCUUACCAAGGCAACGAUGCGUAGCCGACCUGAGAGGGUGAUCGGCCACACUGGAACUGAGACACGGUCCAGACUCCUACGGGAGGCAGCAGUAGGGAAUCUUCCGCAAUGGGCGAAAGCCUGACAGAGCAACGCCGCGUGAGUGAAGAAGGUCUUCGGAUCGUAAAACUCUGUUAUUAGGGAAGAACAAAUGUGUAAGUAACUAUGCACGUCUUGACGGUACCUGAUCAGAAAGCCACGGCUAACUACGUG
RNAcentral lists this ribosomal RNA (497 nucleotides) under uncultured bacterium. RNAcentral's name for it is "partial 16S ribosomal RNA". It matches the Rfam family "Bacterial small subunit ribosomal RNA", at positions 28 to 507 of the family's 1533-position model. The record is from RNAcentral.